Prunus mume (Japanese apricot) is the source of this 2051-nucleotide RNA transcript. RefSeq lists it as uncharacterized. NCBI's taxonomy places the organism in Eukaryota, Viridiplantae, Streptophyta, Magnoliopsida, Rosales, Rosaceae. The record is from RefSeq and is a predicted model, not a curated record.
CUUGUGUCUGAGAACUUCUUCACUCACUUGUAAAAUUCUUUGCUUUCUUCAUAAACCUUCAACGAAUUAGUGGAUCAAUUUUCCUGUGAUUCGUUGAUAAUCAGUUUGAGGUGUUUCUCUUGGUAAAGGCUAGAAUUCAAGAAUUGGGUAUUCAUCUUCACCUGUUACUGUUUCUUGGUUUUCUUCUACAUGUAAAAUUGUAUAGAACAAAACCCAGUUUUCAGUUUCGAUUCAAGGUAAAAAAAAUUAUGAAAAAUUGUACAUUUUUCGUUUUGCUUGAAUGUUUUGUCUUAGACCUUGGUUUUGGUAGCAUGUGAGUUAUUUGAUAACAGAGUUUAAGGCAGCGGCGUCCAAUCAUCAAACAGAGUGGACUCUCAACCAAAACAAAAAGCCCCAAUUCCAAAUACACUGGUCAAUUAGGGUUUAACGGAAUUUCCCCAACGCUUGUUUGAAUAAUUCGCAGCAAAUCGCAAUGGCUCGUAACGAAGAGAAAGCGCAGUCGAUGCUCAAUCGAUUCAUCACACUCAAAGCCGAAGAGAAGAAGAAGCCAAAAGAGCGACGUCCAUACCUGGCCUCCGAAUGCCGGGACCUUGCCGAGGCCUCCAAAUGGCGGCAGCAAAUCAUGGGAGAGAUUGGCCGAAAAGUCGCCGAGAUCCAAAACGAAGGGCUUGGCGAGCACCGUCUCCGUGACCUCAACGACGAGAUCAACAAGCUCAUACGGGAGAAGGUUCACUGGGAACGACGAAUUGUUGAGCUCGGAGGCCCUAACUACGCCAAACACGCCCCUAAGAUGACGGACCUCGAUGGCAACAUCAUCGACGUCCCAAACCCUAGCGGCCGAGGCCCUGGGUAUCGGUAUUUCGGCGCGGCGAAGAAGUUGCCGGGAGUCAGAGAGCUUUUCGAGAAGCCACCGGAGCUGAGAAAGCGGAGGACGAGGUACGAUAUAUACAAAAGGAUUGAUGCGAGCUAUUAUGGGUAUAGGGACGAUGAGGAUGGGGUUCUGGAGGAGGUUGAGGCUCCGGCGGAGGAGAAAAUGAGAGCGGAGGCCGUGGCGGAGUGGAAACGGAUGGAGGAGAUAAGGAAAGAGGCAAGGAGGGCGGUGAAGAGUGGGGAGGUGGUGUCGGUGGCAAAGGCAAAGGAGGUUUUGUUUGAAGAGGAAGAAGAGGUGGUUGAGGAGGAGAGGCAGAGAGAAAGGGAAUUACAAGAGAGGAGUGAGAGGGAGAAAGAGUUUGUGGUGCAUGUGCCGUUGCCGGACGAUAGGGAGAUUGAGAAGAUGGUGCUGGAGAAGAAGAAGAAGGAGCUGCUGAGCAAGUAUACUAGUGAUGGAUUGUUGGAGGAGCAGUCUGAGGCUAAGCAGAUGCUUAACAUUCAGCGCUAGAAUGCAGACACCAAGAAAGAGAAAGAAUGUUCAGUUGCAAAGGUUGUUGGCUGGUUGUUGGCUGGUCAGGUCCCCCCAAUUUUUUUCCCUCUUGUACUGUCUCUUCACGUCAAUAAUGCCAUAAUAUGAAGGAAAACUAUGGAGUGUGCCCCCUUCUUUUAAACCCUGCAGUGGCAUUUGCUUCAGUGACUCUGAUGAUCAGGGAGCGUACCAAAGGAGAGAAAGCAAGUGGCAGCAUGGUGAGGUUGACUGAGACUGACUUGUCCAUGAGAAAGUGGUAUGGGAUGCAGAGGUGUGGCGUGCUCCACGCCAUUUGUUCCUCACUAAAAAUUUGAUAGGCAGGUUCUUGUGCAGCGGCGUCCAAUCAUCAAACAGAGUGGACUUUCAACCAAAACAAAAAUAUCAGUACAUAUUUCAAUUCUGAUUUGAUAAACACAUUGCUUUCCUUUGGGAUUUCCAGUUGAUAACUGAUGACAAAGUUCUAUAUUUUUCUUGCUCUGCCACACUCAAGUUGCCUAAAUCAAAGAAAUCUUCAUCACUUUAUCUACUGUUUAUUUUUGCCCUUUGUUUGUUCAGGCUUGUUUCGGUUUCUACUUUUUGUACUAGAGAAAUAUUCAAGUCCUUGUUCUACUUGAGGCAUAGAAAAGAACUCGUAUUGGGCCAGUUCCCCACC